GACGAACGCUGGCGGCGUGCCUAAUACAUGCAAGUCGAGCGAAUCUAUUGGGAGCUUGCUCCCUUUAGAUUAGCGGCGGACGGGUGAGCAACACGUGGGUAACCUGCCUGUAAGACUGGGAUAACUCCGGGAAACCGGGGCUAAUAACGGAUAAGUUGUUCCUCCGCAUGGAGGAACAUUGAAAGAUGGCUUCGGCUCUCACUUACAGCUGGACCCGCGGCGCAUUAGCUAGUUGGUGAGGUAACGGCUCACCAAGGCAACGAUGCGUAGCCCACCUGGGAGGGUGAUCGGCCACACUGGGACUGAGACACGGCCCAGACUCCUACGGGAGGCAGCAGUAGGGAAUCUUCCGCAAUGGACGAAAGUCUGACGGAGCAACGCCGCGUGAGUGAUGAAGGUUUUCGGAUCGUAAAACUCUGUUGUUAGGGAAGAACAAGUACCGUUCGAAUAGGGCGGUACCUUGACGGUACCUAACCAGAAAGCCACGGCUAACUACGUGCCAGCCGCCGCCGUAA
This 515-nucleotide ribosomal RNA is filed under the name uncultured bacterium. RNAcentral describes it as "partial 16S ribosomal RNA". It matches the Rfam family "Bacterial small subunit ribosomal RNA", at positions 28 to 523 of the family's 1533-position model. The record is from RNAcentral.